Long non-coding RNA from Bos taurus (domestic cattle), 676 nucleotides. The record is from Ensembl. NCBI's taxonomy places the organism in Eukaryota, Metazoa, Chordata, Mammalia, Artiodactyla, Bovidae.
CCCAUGAUUAGCUCUACUUUAAUCCUCAUGUACACAGUUCCUUCUGAGACUACAAAAGCCCCAGUCUUGUCCAGCUGCCAUCCCUCCCCUCUAAGCUUGCUUUUGGCUGGAUUGUGCUGCUUCUGAAGAUGUAUUAUAAUUUAGUGUUCUGGUUGAAAAGGCAAAGUCUAAUCAGUGAUCUGAAGUGAUGGUAAACAGAAUCCUCAUCCUACCAACCACCGUGGCUACAAAUAGGAUGAGGGAGAGUUGUGGCAGUCAGAACAUCAGUGAAGGAGGCAAAGGCGAUGCGAAUCACAAGGGUCUAAUGUGGCCCCAAUGACUUCUGACAACGAUGAUGCAGACCAAGCAAUCAGGGUCCUGGGAGCCAGAGCUGGUUUGGUGUGGAGUUGAGGCUGUCCCAUAGGCUGCAGAGUGUGGUGGGAGAGCUACAGAGAGUGUUCGGGGACAAAGUUAGAUGAAACUGCCAAAAGGAGAAGAUGCAAAGACCGAACCAAGUGAGAGACAGAGCUGUUACAAGAAAACAAGCUGGAGAAAGCAUCUCACCGAGGGCCCAGCCCAAAGACGUAUCCAAGGGGAAGGAAGCACUGCACUGCUUCUCCCAAGGAGACAUCUGCACACUACGCCUGCCAGUUUUCCUAUGUGGACAGAAGGGCAUUUUUGCAGGCAUCGGGUUAGU